This is a non-coding RNA of Parelaphostrongylus tenuis, 74 nucleotides long. NCBI's taxonomy places the organism in Eukaryota, Metazoa, Nematoda, Chromadorea, Rhabditida, Metastrongylidae. The record is from the annotation of a GenBank genome assembly.
GCGUCAGUAGCGCAACGGGUUUACGCGUACGCUCCCGGAUAGGAUGAAUACGGGUUUGAGUCCCGACUGGCGCA